RNAcentral lists this ribosomal RNA (459 nucleotides) under Timema knulli. RNAcentral's name for it is "partial 16S ribosomal RNA". It matches the Rfam family "Bacterial large subunit ribosomal RNA", at positions 1810 to 2528 of the family's 2925-position model. The record is from RNAcentral. Lineage: Eukaryota; Metazoa; Arthropoda; Insecta; Phasmatodea; Timematidae.
AAAACAUGUCUUCAUGAUCAUAAUUAUAUGAAGUCGUACCUGCCCAAUGAUUUAAUUUAAUGGCCGCGGUAUUUUGACCGUGCAAAGGUAGCAUAAUAAAUUGUCUACUAAAUGUGGACUAGAAUGAAAGGUUUGACGAGGUAUAAACUGUCUCUUUUGUAUUUAUAUUAGAACUUGAAUUUUAAGUUAAAAUGCUUUAAAUUUUAUUGUAGGACGAGAAGACCCUAUAGAGUUUUAUGUUAAUAGGUUUAAUUUAUAUUAGGAUUUUUUAAUUACAUUAAUUUUAUAUACAUUUUGUUGGGGUGACAGGAAGAUUAUCAUAACUCUUUUUUUUUAUUUACAUUAAUUAGUGAUUUUUUUAGUUGAUCCAGAUAUUCUGAUUAUAAGAUUAAAUUACCUUAGGGAUAACAGCGUAAUAUUUUUUGAGAGUUCUUAUCGACAAGAAAGAUUGCGACCUCG